UACGGGGGGGGCAAGCGUUGUGCGGAAUUACUGGGCGUAAAGGGCUCGUAGGUGGCCAACUAAGUCAGACGUGAAAUCCCUCGGCUUAACCGGGGAACUGCGUCUGAUACUGGAUGGCUUGAGAUUGGGAGAGGGAUGCGGAAUUCCAGGUGUAGCGGUGAAAUGCGUAGAUAUCUGGAGGAACACCGGUGGCGAAGGCGGCAUCCUGGACCAACACUGAAAAUGAUGAGCGAAAGCCAGGGGAGCAAACGGG
Molecule: ribosomal RNA, 253 nt
Filed under: uncultured bacterium
Lineage: Bacteria
Description: partial 16S ribosomal RNA
Rfam family: Bacterial small subunit ribosomal RNA
Source: RNAcentral